UACGGAGGGUGCAAGCGUUGUCCGGAAUCACUGGGCGUAAAGGGCGCGUAGGCGGCUCGGUAAGUAGGGGGUGAAAUCCUGCGGCUUAACCGCAGGGCUGCCUUCUAAACUGUCGAGCUCGAGCACAGUAGAGGCAGGUGGAAUUCCCGGUGUAGCGGUGGAAUGCGUAGAGAUCGGGAAGAACAUCGGUGGCGAAGGCGGCCUGCUGGGCUGUUGCUGACGCUGAGGCGCGACAGCGUGGGGAGCAAACAGG
RNAcentral lists this ribosomal RNA (253 nucleotides) under uncultured bacterium. RNAcentral describes it as "partial 16S ribosomal RNA". It matches the Rfam family "Bacterial small subunit ribosomal RNA", at positions 524 to 776 of the family's 1533-position model. The record is from RNAcentral.